UAAGGGUUGGAUAUAAUAAUUAAAGUGAUCUUAUGUUAAGAAUUAUAUACAAGUCAAUCCAAUUAUUGACAGUUCAUCAAAUAGUUAUGGAGAAGAAUCUAAUUCCAUGGCCAAAUAUAUCGCGCUUACCCUUUUUUGAGUCUGGAGACCUCUGGUAAGGGUAAGUUUGCGGUAGUUGGAUGAUUUUGAGACGAUUUAAUUUUUUUGAAAACACUUGGGUCAGCAAUUGAGUGGAGGUAAUCUUACCUGAGUUGAGCGUACUGUCCCCAACGUCAGAGUCUAGUCACCGCAGUGAAGAUAAGCCCUCCGUGCCAUGGACGAUUUUGCAAAGAUUUAUUUUUUCCGAAGGCAGUUUGUGCCCCGUGUUCUAGGUGGUAACCUCACCGUAAAACAUCGGACCUUACGCCCUCCCUCUCGUCUCCUCCCUCCACAAAGUUCCCACCUUUACCCGUCUCCACUGCCGCCAUCGUCCUCCUGCCCGGUCAACGCCGUCGUCCACUGCCAUUGGCGCAGCGCCCUCCUUUAGCCGCAGCCGUCUCCCACCGACGAUGGCGAAUCCGCUACCCCCAUGCCCUGUGAUCCGAGUUCCACUAUGGCCCAAGGUGUGGCGACCAAUGGGAGAUUGGAGGGAAGCAUUAGGGAUGUCCUCAGCAAGUAGGUGGAGCUUGUUCUCCUCCUGCCGGACGAGGACCGCAUCGAGGAGAAGUUGUUUUGUCGAGGGAUUAGACCGCCGCGCGGAAUGCUUGCUUGAACUUUGGCUGUGACCACUUCGAUAUGUCGAGAUUUUCGAUAGAUUUAGUAAGAGAGGGUUCCAGCAGAUUUAUAAGGUACCUCUUUCUUGUUGAAUCCAUCAGAUGAAAUAAGCCGCAAAGUUUUCAUUUUUCUUUUUAUGUGCUUUGAUAUCUCAGGUGCAACUAUUAAAACUAUUGGUGCAUUCUUUCUUGGUGAUCACAAAAAUCCCCUGAUGAGUGUGCAGAAAAAAGCAAUUAUGUCACAGGACCGAACCGGAGAUGACCACCAGAAGGCCAGAUGUUUCUACUGCAUGGAAUUUUGGCUUAUGACAAUGAUGGUGCAGUUUUUGCUGCCUUUUGCAGAUACUCGUAAAAGUGAUGAUAGUUCUUUGGAGAGCUGGCCUUGUAGGGGAAAUGGUCUGUGAUUUGAAAUGAUACUAGCUGUCGUGGCAUGGUCCCGGGAACCCUAUAAUGAGGUCAGUACCUAAUGGAAGUUGAUGAAAUGAAGUUUACCUUUUUCAUUCAAAUGAUAUCGGAUCUGAUAAUUUCUGAUGAUGAAGAUGAAGAUGAUGCGGGUAGUUACAAGCUUGACAGCACUCAAGCAAGUGAAGUUCCUUAAAAGGAUUAUUUGAACAAGGUGUCAAGGAUUAUUUAUGACUCUGAGGAUGAUGAUCCUACUGAUCAUCCUUAUUGUGUAACUUCCUAUUCAUGCCAUAGAUUCUGCAGAGAGAGCUGGAGGCUUAACUCCAAGCUCUUAGGAUCUUAUGAUUGAGAUGAUGACUGUGAACUAGGUUCUAAUUCUGAUGAAAUGAAUGGAAUUUUAUGGUCUGAAUUGGGAAAAUUAAAUGGGCUAGUAAAGGAAGAGCCCAUUUAGAAUAUAGAGUCUGAUGAUGAUGGCAACCUGUAUGCCGAUGGAAAUAGGUAGAGAUGACAUUCCAGUCAUUAAGGAUCACAAGAAAAAUCGGGAACUGCUGCUUCUUUUAUCAGUGGAUGCGAUGGUCUAUCUUCUAGUAAAUUUCACAUGCAUAAAAAGGGUCUGGAGCUGACUACAAAAACUUGAGAGAUAUCAUCACUUUGAUGGAUGGUGCUGUAGAACAUGAUGCUCACAGAGAAACGAAAGAGGGAUGGAGAUGGAACAUGAUCGUCCUGAUUUCUGGAGCAAAUUUGAUGGUCAUUUAUGAGAAAUGAUGAUACAUUCCUGAUCGAUCCAUUAGCUUUGUCGACAAUUAUGGGCCUCGACGUAAGCAACACUUGAAGGAGAGUUGCUGCUGUCCUAUCUAAAGAGGCUGAGUUCUCUUAUGUAUCGAAGACAUGACCGAAGCUAACUAUUGAAUAAUCAUCUUUAUCUUCUGGAUGAUUAAGGAGUCUUCUUUAGUUUCUCCACUGGGCAUGGAGACAUCAAUUUGAUGACGAUUCUUUCUCGCCAUCUUUCCAGUUAAUAUGAAAUCUUCUCAAUGAAUUUUUGUCAUUGUGCUGAGAAUUCUUUGGCAAAUUGAUGCAAUAUUCUGUUCUUGUUGUUAUAUUGUUCACUGAUACCAAUCACAUGCACACUGGAGUAUGUCUAAUUCUUUGUUGUUCAGUUAAACAGUCUGUCAAGUUCUUAUUCUUAGAAUUCUUGAGCUGCAUCAAAGAACAAACGUCAGCAAU
Long non-coding RNA from Musa acuminata AAA Group (dessert banana), 2378 nucleotides. RefSeq lists it as uncharacterized. The transcript is spliced from 3 exons. The record is from RefSeq and is a predicted model, not a curated record. NCBI's taxonomy places the organism in Eukaryota, Viridiplantae, Streptophyta, Magnoliopsida, Zingiberales, Musaceae.